UGGGGAAUAUUGCGCAAUGGGCGAAAGCCUGACGCAGCGACGCCGCGUGAGGGAAGAAGGUCUUCGGAUCGUAAACCUCUGUCAGAAGGGAAGAAGUGAUGUACGGUGAAUAUCCGUGCAUUUUGACGGUACCUUCAGAGGAAGCACCGGCUAACUCCGUGCCAGCAGCCGCGGUAAUACGGAGGGUGCAAGCGUUAAUCGGAAUCACUGGGCGUAAAGCGCGCGUAGGCGGCCUGGCAAGUCAAAUGUGAAAGCCCUCGGCUCAACCGGGGAACUGCAUUCGAAACUGUCAGGCUUGAGUCUCGGAGAGGGUGGCGGAAUUCCCGGUGUAGGAGUGAAAUCCGUAGAUAUCGGGAGGAACACCAGUGGCGAAGGCGGCCACCUGGACGAGAACUGACGCUGAGGUGCGAAAGCGUGGGUAGCAAACA
Molecule: ribosomal RNA, 428 nt
Filed under: uncultured bacterium
Lineage: Bacteria
Description: bacterial SSU rRNA
Rfam family: Bacterial small subunit ribosomal RNA
Source: RNAcentral